Cynoglossus semilaevis (tongue sole) is the source of this 1099-nucleotide long non-coding RNA. RefSeq lists it as uncharacterized. The transcript is spliced from 3 exons. The record is from RefSeq and is a predicted model, not a curated record. Lineage: Eukaryota; Metazoa; Chordata; Actinopteri; Pleuronectiformes; Cynoglossidae.
GUGGCAGGAAAACCAGAGGAGGAGGUGCAGCUCAUCCACAGAACAAACUCCUCAACACCAACCAGCCCUACAGGGCUGACGCCCCCUGCUGUGUCUGCAGAGGGGGGAGCCCCCAGGCCUGAGCGUGAAGUCUCAGACGAAGGAAGGAACGUCUUAGCAGUGAACCCAGAGUCAGGCACAGACCCCCCCACCAUGAAGCUGUGAGUGACCCCGACACACAACAGGAAGAUGGGACAUUAUACUGACCUACGACAAACGGCUCCAAUUUGGCAACGUCUAAAUCAUCACAAAAGGAGAGGAUACGGUUUGUUUUUAGCAGCAGCAGUAACAGCAGCAGUAACAGUAACAGUAGUAACAGUAACAGCAGCAAGAAAGUUUCUCUGUUUAACUUUGUCUCCUUCCAAACAAACCUGAGGAACAUAAGAAGUUCUGUGUUUUAGGAACCAGUUGGAUUUAAGGCGUAUGCACACGGCAGUGCGGCUCAAUGAGGUCAUCACAGAGAACUCCAAGGAGGCCAAACUGGUGCUGCUCAAUAUGCCCGGGCCACCAAAGAACCGACUGGGCAAUGAGAACUAUAUGGAGUUCCUGGAGGUGCUGACUGAAGGCCUGAAUCGGGUCCUUCUGGUACGAGGAGGAGGGCCGUGAAGUCAUCACAUCUAUUCCUGGAGAGCAUUUAAAGAUUUUUUUGUUUGUUUGUUUUUUCUGUCUCCUAGUUCAGUCUCUAAGAAUACACACAACACAGUCUAUGUCCUGGGCUGUGGGAACUGAAAACUGCAGAUAAGACUAGGUUUGUUAAUAACUUGUACAAUAUAGAAACAAAGUGUCUCAUUUGUAAGAAAAAAGCACCUUUCCUUUUUAUUCUUAUUCUUUCAUUUAUGUGUUGAUUCAUCUAUUUCUGUUUGUCUGUAUUCUGUCAACUUCUAUUAUUGACCUGGAUUAGAAUUGUUGAGGAUUUGUAUCAUCUGAAACUAAACCUUCACCUAUACCGUCUAAAACAUAACAGUUAUAUUAUAAGGUGAUUAUAAAGUGCAUGUAACCUUUAAUCUAUAUAAAAAUAAUAUUUUGAAAAGUAAAUCUAAUAAAGUGCAUUGAUUCAGAU